Molecule: ribosomal RNA, 1530 nt
Filed under: Salmonella enterica
Lineage: Bacteria; Pseudomonadati; Pseudomonadota; Gammaproteobacteria; Enterobacterales; Enterobacteriaceae
Description: bacterial SSU rRNA
Rfam family: Bacterial small subunit ribosomal RNA
Source: RNAcentral
AGAGUUUGAUCAUGGCUCAGAUUGAACGCUGGCGGCAGGCCUAACACAUGCAAGUCGAACGGUAACAGGAAGCAGCUUGCUGCUUUGCUGACGAGUGGCGGACGGGUGAGUAAUGUCUGGGAAACUGCCUGAUGGAGGGGGAUAACUACUGGAAACGGUGGCUAAUACCGCAUAACGUCGCAAGACCAAAGAGGGGGACCUUCGGGCCUCUUGCCAUCAGAUGUGCCCAGAUGGGAUUAGCUUGUUGGUGAGGUAACGGCUCACCAAGGCGACGAUCCCUAGCUGGUCUGAGAGGAUGACCAGCCACACUGGAACUGAGACACGGUCCAGACUCCUACGGGAGGCAGCAGUGGGGAAUAUUGCACAAUGGGCGCAAGCCUGAUGCAGCCAUGCCGCGUGUAUGAAGAAGGCCUUCGGGUUGUAAAGUACUUUCAGCGGGGAGGAAGGUGUUGCGGUUAAUAACCGCAGCAAUUGACGUUACCCGCAGAAGAAGCACCGGCUAACUCCGUGCCAGCAGCCGCGGUAAUACGGAGGGUGCAAGCGUUAAUCGGAAUUACUGGGCGUAAAGCGCACGCAGGCGGUCUGUCAAGUCGGAUGUGAAAUCCCCGGGCUCAACCUGGGAACUGCAUUCGAAACUGGCAGGCUUGAGUCUUGUAGAGGGGGGUAGAAUUCCAGGUGUAGCGGUGAAAUGCGUAGAGAUCUGGAGGAAUACCGGUGGCGAAGGCGGCCCCCUGGACAAAGACUGACGCUCAGGUGCGAAAGCGUGGGGAGCAAACAGGAUUAGAUACCCUGGUAGUCCACGCCGUAAACGAUGUCUACUUGGAGGUUGUGCCCUUGAGGCGUGGCUUCCGGAGCUAACGCGUUAAGUAGACCGCCUGGGGAGUACGGCCGCAAGGUUAAAACUCAAAUGAAUUGACGGGGGCCCGCACAAGCGGUGGAGCAUGUGGUUUAAUUCGAUGCAACGCGAAGAACCUUACUUGGUCUUGACAUCCACAGAACUUUCCAGAGAUGGAUUGGUGCCUUCGGGAACUGUGAGACAGGUGCUGCAUGGCUGUCGUCAGCUCGUGUUGUGAAAUGUUGGGUUAAGUCCCGCAACGAGCGCAACCCUUAUCCUUUGUUGCCAGCGAUUAGGUCGGGAACUCAAAGGAGACUGCCAGUGAUAAACUGGAGGAAGGUGGGGAUGACGUCAAGUCAUCAUGGCCCUUACGACCAGGGCUACACACGUGCUACAAUGGCGCAUACAAAGAGAAGCGACCUCGCGAGAGCAAGCGGACCUCAUAAAGUGCGUCGUAGUCCGGAUUGGAGUCUGCAACUCGACUCCAUGAAGUCGGAAUCGCUAGUAAUCGUGGAUCAGAAUGCCACGGUGAAUACGUUCCCGGGCCUUGUACACACCGCCCGUCACACCAUGGGAGUGGGUUGCAAAAGAAGUAGGUAGCUUAACCUUCGGGAGGGCGCUUACCACUUUGUGAUUCAUGACUGGGGUGAAGUCGUAACAAGGUAACCGUAGGGGAACCUGCGGUUGGAUCACCU